Long non-coding RNA from Beta vulgaris subsp. vulgaris (sugar beet), 299 nucleotides. RefSeq lists it as uncharacterized. The record is from RefSeq and is a predicted model, not a curated record. The transcript has 3 exons. Lineage: Eukaryota; Viridiplantae; Streptophyta; Magnoliopsida; Caryophyllales; Amaranthaceae.
CGAAAUUCUGGGCGAAUUCCUCCAUUGGGAGAUGCUUUUGUUCGCCUAAUUUUCAUAGCUUCAGGGGAAUUAGGUAGUAUACCAACAAUUGGGGUUUGUGUCGUGAUCCUUUGUGUUGUCUCCUCUUCUGCGUGUUUGACAACAAUCUUGCACACUGCCCAUAGUCCUAACAUAUUGGAAAGAAUACAAUGGCCCCUUGUAAGGAGUGGAUGAAACUUUCUCGAGAUGAUCGUUUGAAUGUUGCAUAUGAAAUAGGCGUUGGAAACUUUUUAAAAUAUGCAUCUGAAAAGUCGGGAGGA